AAUGUGACACAAUUGAAUCUUGAAACUGAACUAAUGCAAGCUCAUGCUUCUCUUGGUGUCCGACACAUGGUUUAUUUCUCUGGAAAACUCCAACUAUUUUGAGGAGCCCCUUUGAGUUUGCCAUGUCAUCCCGGGGCACCUCAGACAUGGUCUGGGUCCUUCCCAUCACUAUGGCCUAAAGUUUUAUCUUGGAAGAUUUAAGUUCAGAAUUUCAACAAAGCAACAGAGUAGAUGCGUCUUUACCAGGAACUGGCUGAAUGAGAAGUGAAUGAAAGCUUGGAAUAUAGAGAUAGAAAAAAAAAAUUUCCGUCUGAGAUAUGGACCACCCACUCAACAUAAGAAGAAAACAACUUUUACUUAAGGGUAGGCCUUGACCUUGGCCCUUGUCCUGGCUGAGUCCAGUUUUGGCCAGAAGCCUGCUGUGAGUUUGGAGAGAACACCAUCCUCUUGAUAUCUGAUCAAAUUCCUCAUCUCCACCCCCUCCAAGGCCCCAGUCUAAAAGUCUUCCCGAACAAGAGUGGAGGAAGGAAAAGCACACGGGUACCAUAUGCUCCUUAAACACCUACACACGUACAUCUUCCUUAGUCCCCCCUGCCCAAUCAGAGAGGGAUGCCUUCCAUUUGGGUAAUUUGCAUUGGCCAUCCCUGACUUUCUGGAAAUAUUGGAAGGAAUUAGAGAAAAAUACGCUAUACUGAUUUCUGGACCAUGUCAGACAUCAUUCAGGAAAAAGGCACGGAUUCUGCUUUGGAAACUCAACUGUCCUAGAUUUUCCUAUCAUCUCUCUAUGGAAAUGACACUUCUCCCUGGAACACGCUCAUCCUUUACUGACCUGUUAUGUUCUAUUCGGUCUUGGCUUCAACAUUGAACGACUGAACGCAUCCUUGGGCAAAACUGGUCAAAUCAGAGGAGGCCAGGGAAUAUCCGAAGUAGGCGUGUGGGAGCCGGAUCUUUAGUGCACUUGUAGCUGGGUCUCAUAUAGGAAAUUUGAUUCUUGUUGAAUCAGAAAUCGACACUACAUUUAACUUUCUGAGGUUUGUGUGCCUGGCU
Molecule: long non-coding RNA, 1047 nt
Organism: Canis lupus familiaris (dog)
Lineage: Eukaryota; Metazoa; Chordata; Mammalia; Carnivora; Canidae
Exons: 7
Source: RefSeq, a predicted model, not a curated record